This 317-nucleotide ribosomal RNA is filed under the name Staphylococcus aureus. Its description in RNAcentral is "partial 23S ribosomal RNA". It matches the Rfam family "Bacterial large subunit ribosomal RNA", at positions 1398 to 1710 of the family's 2925-position model. Lineage: Bacteria; Bacillati; Bacillota; Bacilli; Caryophanales; Staphylococcaceae. The record is from RNAcentral.
GAGGCCGACAGGCGUAGGCGAUGGAUAACAGGUUGAUAUUCCUGUACCACCUAUAAUCGUUUUAAUCGAUGGGGGGACGCAGUAGGAUAGGCGAAGCGUGCGAUUGGAUUGCACGUCUAAGCAGUAAGGCUGAGUAUUAGGCAAAUCCGGUACUCGUUGAGGCUGAGCUGUGAUGGGGAGAAGACAUUGUGUCUUCGAGUCGUUGAUUUCACACUGCCGAGAAAAGCCUCUAGAUAGAAAAUAGGUGCCCGUACCGCAAACCGACACAGGUAGUCAAGAUGAGAAUUCUAAGGUGAGCGAGCGAACUCUCGUUAAGG